GGUCUGUAUUAUCGACUUGCACGUUUCUAUUCUAGAAGAUUCAUGCGUCAGACCUUUUGGGUUCGUUUAUUCGGUCUUCCACAUUUUUUCUCAGUUGAAAAUUAAAAGCGCACUUGAGCGAAGUUUCUGCUCGUCGGAGGUUUAUCUUGAUCGCAGUGUGACCACGUUUCUAUUGAAAAGAUAAAGUAGAAUACAACAGCUGAGAGUCGGGAGAAAAUACCACUUAUCAACCCGAAAAAAAGUAUUUAUUUUAAGCUCAGUACUCGUUGGCAAGGGCAAUUAUUU
Molecule: long non-coding RNA, 285 nt
Organism: Rhagoletis zephyria (snowberry fruit fly)
Lineage: Eukaryota; Metazoa; Arthropoda; Insecta; Diptera; Tephritidae
Source: RefSeq, a predicted model, not a curated record